This 433-nucleotide ribosomal RNA is filed under the name uncultured bacterium. RNAcentral's name for it is "partial 16S ribosomal RNA". It matches the Rfam family "Bacterial small subunit ribosomal RNA", at positions 29 to 507 of the family's 1533-position model. The record is from RNAcentral.
AACGAACGCUGGCGGCAUGCCUAACACAUGCAAGUCGAACGAGACCUUCGGGUCUAGUGGCGCACGGGUGCGUAACGCGUGGGAACCUGCCCUUAGGUUCGGAAUAACUCCCCGAAAGGGGUGCUAAUACCGGAUAAUGUCUUCGGACCAAAGAUUUAUCGCCUUUGGAUGGGCCCGCGUUGGAUUAGCUAGUUGGUAGGGUAAAAGCCUACCAAGGCGACGAUCCAUAGCUGGUCUGAGAGGAUGAGCAGCCACACUGGGACUGGGACACGGCCCGGACUCCUACGGGAGGCAGCAGUGGGGAAUAUUGGACAAUGGGCGAAAGCCUGAUCCAGCAAGGCCGCGUGAGUGAUGAAGGCCUUAGGGUUGUAAAGCUCUUUUACCCGGGAUGAUAAUGACAGUACCGGGAGAAUAAGCACCGGCUAACUCCGUG